Molecule: long non-coding RNA, 941 nt
Organism: Carassius carassius (crucian carp)
Lineage: Eukaryota; Metazoa; Chordata; Actinopteri; Cypriniformes; Cyprinidae
Exons: 4
Source: RefSeq, a predicted model, not a curated record
GCGCUUGAUAUAUAUUCAUGAGAGUUGAAGUCAUCGGUCUUUUCCCCGACUGUGUAGCAACGUUGCGCCAUUAAACGAAUCCAAAAACAUCGGUCAAAAUGAGACUAUGCUCGUACAGGCCCAUUGGUGAGAGGUUAAAGCCAGUAUUGAUGAUGAACAAGAUGGACCAUGCAUUGCUAGAGCUGCAGCUGGGCCCUGAAGAGCUGUACCAAACCUUUCAGCGCUUUCAUUCGAGAACGUCAACAUGAUCAUCUCCACCUAUGGCAAGGAUGAGAAUGGACCCAUGGGCAACAUUGUGUCGUUGGUACUAUUGGCUUUGGAUCUGGACUGCUUUCACUUUGAAGCAGUUUGCUGCAAAUGGUGAAGCACAGCUGGGACCAGCUGAAUGGUGCAAGAAGGUGGAGAACUUAAAGCUUUGGGAAGACGGGUGAGCUAGGAAAAACCCAAAAGAACAACACAACUGAAUCAAAUGUAAUUUCUUUAUGUAAAGUGACCAUUUCUUACAGGUACAUUAACCCUUCCUCUGGGAAGUGUAGCAAGUCUGCCACACCAGAUGGAAAAAGCUUCCCAGAACUUGCCCAUUUGAUCAUGGACCCCAUUUUAAAAAUAUUUGAUGCCAUCACAAACUUCGAGGGAAACCUCUAAACCGAUUGAGAAGAUGGACAUAAGAUUAAAUACUGAGGGCAAGACGAACACUUUGGAGAUUUAGAUGAAUUCAAACCGUAAAGUCAAGAUAUGACUGUGGUUUUAAAAUGCCUUAUUGUAUUAUGGACCGACAGGCAAUUGUGGUUUUUCCAUGUUCCUAGUAAAAUUGGAAAUUAAUGUUUUGUGCUUAAACUGUCAAAUACAAUUGCACAAUUUAUGUACUGUGUACAUGGCUUGUAUCCUAAUACAUAUGGACAUUGUGUGCUUGCUGUAGUAUUAAAAGAUAUUAGCAACCU